The sequence is a ribosomal RNA, 434 nucleotides long. It matches the Rfam family "Bacterial small subunit ribosomal RNA", at positions 341 to 792 of the family's 1533-position model.
ACGGGAGGCAGCAGUGGGGAAUAUUGCGCAAUGGGGGAAACCCUGAUGCAGCGACGCCGCGUGAGUGAAGAAGUAUUUCGGUAUGUAAAGCUCUAUCAGCAGGAAAGAAAAUGACGGUACCUGACUAAGAAGCCCCGGCUAACUACGUGCCAGCAGCCGCAGUAAUACGUAGGUGGCAAGCGUUAUCCGGAAUUACUGGGUGUAAAGGGUGUGUAGGCGGGACUGCAAGUCAGAUGUGAAAAUUAUGGGCUCAACCCAUAACCUGCGUCUGAAACUGUGGUUCUUGAGAGUGGGAGAGGUAGAUGGAAUUCCUGGUGUAGCGGUGAAAUGCGUAGAUAUCAGGAGGAACACCGGUGGCGAAGGCGAUCUACUGGACCACAACUGACGCUGAGACACGAAAGCGUGGGGAGCAAACAGGAUUAGAUACCCUGGUA